GAAAGCGUGGGGGAGCAAACAGGAUUAGAUACCCUGGUAGUCCACGCCGUAAACGAUGUCUACUUGAAGGUUGUGGCCUUGAGCCGUGGCUUUCGGAGCUAACGCGUUAAGUAGACCGCCUGGGGAGUACGGUCGCAAGAUUAAAACUCAAAUGAAUUGACGGGGGCCCGCACAAGCGGUGGAGCAUGUGGUUUAAUUCGAUGCAACGCGAAGAACCUUACCUACUCUUGACAUCCACAGAAGAGACCAGAGAUGGACUUGUGCCUUCGGGAACUGUGAGACAGGUGCUGCAUGGCUGUCGUCAGCUCGUGUUGUGAAAUGUUGGGUUAAGUCCCGCAACGAGCGCAACCCUUAUCCUUGUUUGCCAGCACGUAAUGGUGGGAACUCCAGGGAGACUGCCGGUGAUAAACCGGAGGAAGGUGGGGACGACGUCAAGUCAUCAUGGCCCUUACGAGUAGGGCUACACACGUGCUACAAUGGCGUAUACAGAGGGCUGCCAACCAGCGAUGGUGAGCGAAUCCCACAAAAUACGUCGUAGUCCGGAUCGGAGUCUGCAACUCGACUCCGUGAAGUCGGAAUCGCUAGUAAUCGUGAAUCAGAAUGUCACGGUGAAUACGUUCCCGGGCCUUGUACACACCGCCCGUCACACCAUGGGAGUGGGCUGCACCAGAAGUAGAUAGCUUAACCUUCGGGAGGGCGUUUACCACGGUGUGGUUCAUGACUGGGGUGAAGUCGUAACAAGGUAACCGUA
Molecule: ribosomal RNA, 751 nt
Filed under: uncultured bacterium
Lineage: Bacteria
Description: bacterial SSU rRNA
Rfam family: Bacterial small subunit ribosomal RNA
Source: RNAcentral